RNAcentral lists this transfer RNA (59 nucleotides) under Muribaculaceae bacterium. RNAcentral describes it as "tRNA-Pro". It matches the Rfam family "tRNA", at positions 9 to 63 of the family's 71-position model. Rfam says of the family: Transfer RNA (tRNA) molecules are approximately 80 nucleotides in length. Their secondary structure includes four short double-helical elements and three loops (D, anti-codon, and T loops). The record is from RNAcentral. Lineage: Bacteria; Pseudomonadati; Bacteroidota; Bacteroidia; Bacteroidales; Muribaculaceae.
AGCGCAGUCCGGUAGCGCGCCUGGUUUGGGACCAGGUGGUCGCAGGUUCGAAUCCUGUC